UACGUAGGUGGCAAGCGUUGUCCGGAUUUACUGGGCGUAAAGAGCGCGCAGGCGGUCAGAUAAGUCGAAUGGGAAAGCCCCCGGCUCAACUGGGGAGGGUCAUUCGAUACUGUUCGACUCGAAGGCAGGAGAGGGAAGCGGAAUUCCCGGUGUAGUGGUGAAAUGCGUAGAUAUCGGGAGGAACACCAGUGGCGAAGGCGGCUUCCUGGCCUGUUCUUGACGCUGAGGCGCGAAAGCUAGGGGAGCAAACGGG
This 253-nucleotide ribosomal RNA is filed under the name uncultured bacterium. RNAcentral describes it as "partial 16S ribosomal RNA". It matches the Rfam family "Bacterial small subunit ribosomal RNA", at positions 524 to 776 of the family's 1533-position model. The record is from RNAcentral.